AGGGGGAUAAUGCACAAUGCGCGAAAGCAUGAUGCAGCGACGCCGCGUGGGGGAUAAAGGCCCUCGGGUUGUAAACUCCUUUUGCUCUGAACAAGGCAUGCCUUCGGUGUUUGUUUAGUGUAGGGGCUGAUUAGCGCCGGCUAACUACGUGCCAGCAGCCGCGGUAAUACGUGGGGCGCGAGCGUUGUCCGGAAUUAUUGGGCGUCAAGGGCUUGUAGGUGGCUGGUUGCUUCUGUCGUGAAAGCUCAUGGGUUAACUGUGGGUUUGCGGGGGGUACGGGCUGGCAGGAGUGCACUAAGUGAGGCUGGAAUUCCUGAUGUAGCGGUGGAAUGCGCAGAUAUCAGGAGGAAUACCGGUGUCGAAGGCGGGUCUCUGAGCUGUUACUGACGCUGAGGAGCGAAAGCGUGGGGAGCGAACAGG
This 420-nucleotide ribosomal RNA is filed under the name Fusobacteriota bacterium. RNAcentral's name for it is "Fusobacteria bacterium partial 16S ribosomal RNA". It matches the Rfam family "Bacterial small subunit ribosomal RNA", at positions 355 to 776 of the family's 1533-position model. Lineage: Bacteria; Fusobacteriati; Fusobacteriota. The record is from RNAcentral.